This 452-nucleotide ribosomal RNA is filed under the name uncultured bacterium. RNAcentral's name for it is "partial 16S ribosomal RNA". It matches the Rfam family "Bacterial small subunit ribosomal RNA", at positions 29 to 523 of the family's 1533-position model. The record is from RNAcentral.
AACGAACGCUGGCGGUAUGCUUAACACAUGCAAGUCGAACGGGCAUAGCAAUAUGUCAGUGGCAAACGGGUGAGUAAUGUAAAGGAAUCUCCCCAGCAGUAAGGGAUAACUUCGAGAAAUCGAAGCUAAUACCAUAUAUCACCCUUCGGGGGAAAGAUUUAUCGCUGUUGGAUGAGCCUUUAUCGGAUUAGCUAGUUGGUAGGGUAAUGGCCUACCAAGGCGAUGAUCCGUAGCUGGUCUGAGAGGAUGAUCAGCCACACUUGAACUGAGACACGGUUCCGACUCCUACGGGAGGCAGCAGUGGGGAAUAUUGGACAAUGGGCGCAAGCCUGAUCGAGUAAGUCCGCGUGAAUUAUGAAGGUCUUCGGAUUGUAAAGUUCUUUUAGUGAUGAAGAUAAUGACGGUACUCACAGAAAAAGCGCCGGCUAACUUCGUGCCAGCCGCCGCCGUAA